This 2900-nucleotide ribosomal RNA is filed under the name Klebsiella pneumoniae. RNAcentral describes it as "bacterial LSU rRNA". It matches the Rfam family "Bacterial large subunit ribosomal RNA". Lineage: Bacteria; Pseudomonadati; Pseudomonadota; Gammaproteobacteria; Enterobacterales; Enterobacteriaceae. RNAcentral also lists the same sequence under 1 other name. The record is from RNAcentral.
UUAAGCGACUAAGCGUACACGGUGGAUGCCCUGGCAGUCAGAGGCGAUGAAGGACGUGCUAAUCUGCGAAAAGCGUCGGUAAGGUGAUAUGAACCGUUAUAACCGGCGAUGUCCGAAUGGGGAAACCCAGUGCAAUUCGUUGCACUAUCGUUAACUGAAUACAUAGGUUAACGAGGCGAACCGGGGGAACUGAAACAUCUAAGUACCCCGAGGAAAAGAAAUCAACCGAGAUUCCCCCAGUAGCGGCGAGCGAACGGGGAGCAGCCCAGAGUCUGAAUCAGCUUGUGUGUUAGUGGAACGGUCUGGAAAGUCCGACGGUACAGGGUGAUAGUCCCGUACACCAAAAUGCACAGGCUGUGAACUCGAAGAGUAGGGCGGGACACGUGGUAUCCUGUCUGAAUAUGGGGGGACCAUCCUCCAAGGCUAAAUACUCCUGACUGACCGAUAGUAAACCAGUACCGUGAGGGAAAGGCGAAAAGAACCCCGGCGAGGGGAGUGAAAAAGAACCUGAAACCGUGUACGUACAAGCAGUGGGAGCACCUUCGGGUGUGACUGCGUACCUUUUGUAUAAUGGGUCAGCGACUUAUAUUCUGUAGCAAGGUUAACCGUAUAGGGGAGCCGCAGGGAAACCGAGUCUUAACUGGGCGUUAAGUUGCAGGGUAUAGACCCGAAACCCGGUGAUCUAGCCAUGGGCAGGUUGAAGGUUGGGUAACACUAACUGGAGGACCGAACCGACUAAUGUUGAAAAAUUAGCGGAUGACUUGUGGCUGGGGGUGAAAGGCCAAUCAAACCGGGAGAUAGCUGGUUCUCCCCGAAAGCUAUUUAGGUAGCGCCUCGUGAAUUCAUCUUCGGGGGUAGAGCACUGUUUCGGCUAGGGGGUCAUCCCGACUUACCAACCCGAUGCAAACUACGAAUACCGAAGAAUGUUAUCACGGGAGACACACGGCGGGUGCUAACGUCCGUCGUGAAGAGGGAAACAACCCAGACCGCCAGCUAAGGUCCCAAAGUCAUGGUUAAGUGGGAAACGAUGUGGGAAGGCACAGACAGCCAGGAUGUUGGCUUAGAAGCAGCCAUCAUUUAAAGAAAGCGUAAUAGCUCACUGGUCGAGUCGGCCUGCGCGGAAGAUGUAACGGGGCUAAACCAUGCACCGAAGCUGCGGCAGCGACACUAUGUGUUGUUGGGUAGGGGAGCGUUCUGUAAGCCUGCGAAGGUGACCUGUGAGGGUUGCUGGAGGUAUCAGAAGUGCGAAUGCUGACAUAAGUAACGAUAAAGCGGGUGAAAAGCCCGCUCGCCGGAAGACCAAGGGUUCCUGUCCAACGUUAAUCGGGGCAGGGUGAGUCGACCCCUAAGGCGAGGCCGAAAGGCGUAGUCGAUGGGAAACAGGUUAAUAUUCCUGUACUUGGUGUUACUGCGAAGGGGGGACGGAGAAGGCUAUGUUAGCCGGGCGACGGUUGUCCCGGUUUAAGCAUGUAGGCUGGUUGUCCAGGCAAAUCCGGAUAAUCAAGGCUGAGGUGUGAUGACGAGGCACUACGGUGCUGAAGUAACAAAUGCCCUGCUUCCAGGAAAAGCCUCUAAGCAUCAGGUAACAUUAAAUCGUACCCCAAACCGACACAGGUGGUCAGGUAGAGAAUACCAAGGCGCUUGAGAGAACUCGGGUGAAGGAACUAGGCAAAAUGGUGCCGUAACUUCGGGAGAAGGCACGCUGGUGUGUAGGUGAAGUCCCUGCGGAUGGAGCUGAGACCAGUCGAAGAUACCAGCUGGCUGCAACUGUUUAUUAAAAACACAGCACUGUGCAAACACGAAAGUGGACGUAUACGGUGUGACGCCUGCCCGGUGCCGGAAGGUUAAUUGAUGGGGUUAUCCGUAAGGAGAAGCUCUUGAUCGAAGCCCCGGUAAACGGCGGCCGUAACUAUAACGGUCCUAAGGUAGCGAAAUUCCUUGUCGGGUAAGUUCCGACCUGCACGAAUGGCGUAAUGAUGGCCAGGCUGUCUCCACCCGAGACUCAGUGAAAUUGAACUCGCUGUGAAGAUGCAGUGUACCCGCGGCAAGACGGAAAGACCCCGUGAACCUUUACUAUAGCUUGACACUGAACAUUGAGCCUUGAUGUGUAGGAUAGGUGGGAGGCUUUGAAGCGUGGACGCCAGUCUGCGUGGAGCCAACCUUGAAAUACCACCCUUUAAUGUUUGAUGUUCUAACGUUGGCCCCUGACCGGGGUUGCGGACAGUGUCUGGUGGGUAGUUUGACUGGGGCGGUCUCCUCCCAAAGCGUAACGGAGGAGCACGAAGGUUAGCUAAUCCUGGUCGGACAUCAGGAGGUUAGUGCAAUGGCAUAAGCUAGCUUGACUGCGAGCGUGACGGCGCGAGCAGGUGCGAAAGCAGGUCAUAGUGAUCCGGUGGUUCUGAAUGGAAGGGCCAUCGCUCAACGGAUAAAAGGUACUCCGGGGAUAACAGGCUGAUACCGCCCAAGAGUUCAUAUCGACGGCGGUGUUUGGCACCUCGAUGUCGGCUCAUCACAUCCUGGGGCUGAAGUAGGUCCCAAGGGUAUGGCUGUUCGCCAUUUAAAGUGGUACGCGAGCUGGGUUUAGAACGUCGUGAGACAGUUCGGUCCCUAUCUGCCGUGGGCGCUGGAGAAUUGAGGGGGGCUGCUCCUAGUACGAGAGGACCGGAGUGGACGCAUCACUGGUGUUCGGGUUGUCAUGCCAAUGGCACUGCCCGGUAGCUAAAUGCGGAAGAGAUAAGUGCUGAAAGCAUCUAAGCACGAAACUUGCCCCGAGAUGAGUUCUCCCUGAGACUUUAAGUCUCCUGAAGGAACGUUGAAGACGACGACGUUGAUAGGCCGGGUGUGUAAGCGCAGCGAUGCGUUGAGCUAACCGGUACUAAUGAACCGUGAGGCUUAACCUU